Molecule: ribosomal RNA, 458 nt
Filed under: uncultured bacterium
Lineage: Bacteria
Description: partial 16S ribosomal RNA
Rfam family: Bacterial small subunit ribosomal RNA
Source: RNAcentral
CCUACGGGCGACAGCAGUGAGGAAUAUUGGUCAAUGGGCGAGAGCCUGAACCAGCCAAGUCGCGUGAGGGAGUACUGCCCUAUGGGUUGUAAACCUCUUUUGUCGGGGAGCAAAAGCCGGACGUGUCCGGCUGUGAGAGUACCCGAAGAAAAAGCAUCGACUAACUCCGUGCCAGCAGCCGCGGUAAUACGGAGGAUGCGAGCGUUAUCCGGAUUUAUUGGGUUUAAAGGGUGCGCAGGCGGAUUUUUAAGUCAGCGGUAAAAUCGUGGGGCUCAACCCCAUCCAGCCGUUGAAACUGGGGAUCUAGAGUGUGCGAGAGGUAUGCGGAAGGCGUGGUGUAGCGGUGAAAUGCAUAGAUAUCACGAAGAACCCCGAUUGCGAAGGCAGCAUACCGGUGCACAACUGACGCUCAGGCACGAAAGCGUGGGUAUCGAACAGGAUUAGAUACCCCAGUAGUC